CCCUUAGAUGUUCUGGGCCGCACGCGCGCUACACUGACGAUGGCAACGAGUUUUUCCUUCGCCGAAAGGUGUGGGUAAUCUUUUGAAACAUCGUCGUGCUGGGGAUAGAUCAUUACAAUUUUUGAUCUUGAACGAGGAAUUCCUAGUAAGCGCGAGUCAUCAGCUCGCGUUGAUUACGUCCCUGCCCUUUGUACACACCGCCCGUCGCUACUACCGAUUGAAUGGUUUAGUGAGGACUCCUGAUUGGCGCCGCCGCCCCGGCAACGGAGCAGCGGACUGCCGAAAAGUUGUUCAAACUUGAUCAUUUAGAGGAAGUAAAAGUCGUAACA
RNAcentral lists this ribosomal RNA (329 nucleotides) under uncultured eukaryote. RNAcentral's name for it is "partial 18S ribosomal RNA". It matches the Rfam family "Eukaryotic small subunit ribosomal RNA", at positions 1470 to 1796 of the family's 1831-position model. The record is from RNAcentral.